Dermacentor silvarum is the source of this 7839-nucleotide long non-coding RNA. RefSeq lists it as uncharacterized. The transcript is spliced from 2 exons. The record is from RefSeq and is a predicted model, not a curated record. Lineage: Eukaryota; Metazoa; Arthropoda; Arachnida; Ixodida; Ixodidae.
UCAUACAACGUCAUUAUGUCCUGUGCCCCACUGAUGUUGAAUGUUGAAAGCAUCGCUUGACCUCUCAAGAGAGGAGCUGUUUUUCACUAGGUUCACUGCUCAGUUUCGGGCAAGUUAUUAACGAGUCCUGUUACAUGACAUUGUUAGCAUGAAGGAACACAAAGUAGAAAAACCGGAUGUGUAGCGUGCCAUCCUACACGUCAUUCCAAAUCCUCCGUUUACGUUAGUCAUGUUUUGUCACAUCUUGCAUUAAAGAAUCCCCGCAGUAUCCAAAUAACCUCAAGUUAUGUUUCAUUCACAGAUUUGCACAUCAAAUGCCACAUUCGUCCGACUGUAAAACAAGGGUCCUUCAAUACUUUCCAUCUGGUCACAAAAGUUCGCGUAAUCCUAUGGGAGAGCUUCAUAUAGUGCCCACAGUGGACACACCACGGCGCUGGCGCAAGUAGAAUGUGGACUGGAGCAGAUGCCGAACGAACGCCACAGGCGUUCUGUGCGUAAGCUCGCUAUUGUGCAAGGGUUGACUGCCUGUAUCGGCGUGUGAAUAUUGUCGACACACCGUGCUAAUUGGCGCCCUGUUUCUGUAAAGUGUUCAGAAACUUAAAUGCGAACAAUUUCUUAACUAAAACGCCUUGUUUAAUUUCCAGCUUCAAUUACGAUCACAACAGCGGCUUAAUUCCUAAUUCAACUUGUACACUUGGACUACUCCAUCGUUAGAAAAAAACUACAGAGCAAGUUAACGUCGCACUUUUAUGUAAUAUCACGUAAAAAAAAAAAAACUGCGUUUCAAAUUACUAAAGCUAACCAACUGAAUAACUAAACAAAGAAAUAGGUAAUUACUAAACUAACAAAGCUAACCAGUUGAUUACUAAGCUAAUUACUAAUUAUUGCCAAAUUAUCACUAAUUAUUACUAAACUAAUUACAAGCUAAUCACUAAACUAACAAAGCUAACCAAAUAGGUAAUUACUAAACUAAUUAUCAAGCUAAUAGCUACCCUACUAACUAAUCCAAGAACUACAUUAACUAACUAAACUCAAUAAUAAGUAAUGUAACAGACUACAGUAACAAAAUCAACUCAACCAAUGAACUAAUUACAUAAUAAUAACUAAAUAAUACACCAACUAAACUAACUAAAUAAGUAAGGUAACUAACAAAACUAAUUAACUAAUCAAACUAGCAAAGCUAACCAACUGAUUAACUAAGUUAUCUAACUGAAAUAACAAAAUAAUUUGCUAAUAACCUAUCUAACUAAUCAACUAAUAACUAACACACUGAACUAGCUAACCAAAUAUAACUGACUUAUCCAACUAUAACUAACUAGACAAAGUGCAAAUAGAGACAGCCAAACUAAAGUUUCUGCAAGGAAGGCUACUAGGGGGGAGAGCAACGUCAAUCAUAAACGGUGCCGUGUAUAAUUUAAACACAAAUGCACGGCACAUUAAAUUAUUUUGCCAAAGUUCCUGUUGCAUGUUCACUCUACAAACAUGCUGAAAUAAAUGGAGAAGUGCCUCUCCUCGUGAAAGAUUUGCAUGAUCACGCAUCCCGGCCAUCUGGCACGACAGAUUGUUCACCUUCUAGUUAUGCCAACGCCUCUGGUGUCACCUUCUGUCCCUAUAUGAAACUUUCGGGGAAGUUUCAUGACCAGAUGAAAAGCAUUGAAGGACUCUGGUAACACCUAUACCCUAUUCUUGUGGUCAAGAGAAAGAACCAUUGUGCAAUUUCAGCACUGCACCCGAUUUUAAUGCACAUGCCGUAUUUAGAUAUGCAUAUAUUUCACACUUCUGAAUACAGUCGCAUGCCUUUACAACGAACGCCUCUACAACAAAAUGACCUGUAUAAUAAAGAAAUAAUUCUGUCCCAGUUCUAUUGUGAGCCGUGUGGUGUGCAAUAUUUACAAGUGACCUUUAUAACGAAUGAGUUCGGAGGCCCCAGGAACUUAACUAUAAAGGCGUUCGACACUAUGUACAUUAGAAUAUGGUAGGUAAAUACCAUAAUUCUCGUAUGCAUGCUUUUGAAAGUUGGUGACCAGAAAGAACCAAGGUCACCUCAUCAUGCUCAUUAAGCAAUAGAUGCGAUGAAUGUGACUAGUAGGCAGUCCAGCAAAAAAAGGCGCAAUUUUGACACCACUGGUCAAUUAAAAUGGCUGCAAAGAUCAAGAUGAUGCAGUGUUAUGAACAACAACAAGAUUCACAAUUAAGAGGAUGAAUUUCAGACAUUUUAUAUAAAUAAGGCAGAAAAGGCAGUUAUAUUCUCACUGCUUAGUCUUUUAUCCUUUGUGACAUGAUAUAAGCUUUAUUAUGUUCCACAUAACAUGAAAUAAUGCCUCACCACAAUAAUCAGCACAAUUAUUCAGGCUUGUAUCUUGUAGCUUGAUGCAAACCAGUUAAUAUAAAUAGCUUGACCCAACUUCAUAAUUUUCAAUACCCACCAACAGAUUAUAAAAGACUGGCACUGCAAACCAGUCACACAAUUAGUUCCUCCAUAGCAUGUGUGUGCUAUUCCAGCAUUUUGUAAUAACAAAAUUUAAAUAUGAAAUUAAAUUGUGAGACCUCAGCUUAUGGGCAAAAAUAAGGAAAAUGUGUACAUUAACUAUGAGGAAUUCUAUUGCACAAUUAAAGCUAAAAUGGUGUAGGUUGGGGCUGCUAAGGGUUCUUGUAAAUCUGGCCUUUGCAUGCAGAGUUCUGACUAGAUAUGGUGGAAAGGACAAAGAGUGUGUGUAUGUGUAUCUUUCAGGCCAGCAGUAUGACAAAUUAAUCAGACCAAGCAAAACAGCUAUGUCUAUAGUAUGCUGGCCUCACUGGAAUUCGGAUCCAUUGCAUGACCUCCUAAAGACCAAAAGUUGUGUGUCACAUGUCUCAAGGAAAGUGAACUGUAUAGACUUAGAAAGCAAGUAAUGGCACAGCAAGAUAAAACUAGAUGACAGAUAAGUUCUGGGUUACUAUGUCACCUGCUUAAAAGCCCAGUUGCGUGUGACUCUUUUAUGUUCUGCGCCCACUGGGCAAACUUUGCAGCAUGCACAACCACAUGGCAAACAAUGAAGAUUGGUCACACCUAACAUGUCCUCCACAGUUUGCGCACGCGCCUUUUCAACCUUGAAAGUCAACCCACACAUGUGGCUGCUAUUUAUUGUUUGAAAUGUGAUGCUAAUCAUGACGAAGUUUGAAAAAGCAGAUGCUGAUCUCGGAGGUCAACAGUCUGCACCGAAGUUUUCUGGGCACUUAUUGCAGCAGACUUUGCCUAGUGGGCAUCAGGGUGAUAGGAAGGGUCCCAUUUCUUGUGGAGUUCCAAGGCAGAGCUUAGCUACUUUAGCAGUGAUUUACAAGUGUUGACCUAUAUUACCUACAGUGACAUCCUAGGAAUGUUGGUCAAACGUGGCAUUGAAAGCUUCAGAAUUUUUCCCAGCAGUCGUCUCCCAUCGGCAAGCUUACUUACAAUACCCAUACAAGCAGGUACCUUUGUGUCCUUCUUGCAAAGCAUCAGCAAAACGUAGUUCUUGCUGAUGUAGCUACAUGGUUGAAUUGGCAGCAAACUGGUUAGAGCACAGCGCUGCACUCUUGCUGAACACAACUGAACAUGCAGCUACAACUGUUAUGAAGGCUGCACAGUCCUUGCAACCAAUAACUCUCGCCUGUUUCUUCCUGUUUCUCUAAUUUCGACACUGAAUUGUUAUCUAGAUUGCAGGAUUGCUGCUGGUAAAUAAUUUAUGCCCAAUUAUAACAGAAGUGAAGCUGGUUAGCUGGUACGUAUGCAUAUCAAGAGAGAAAGAAAGCAAUAAACUAAACCAGUAUAAAGAUGACUACAUGAAAGCCUUUACCCAGCCUUUGCUUUCCUUGUUUAAUAUUGAGCAAAAUUUGUCCUUCAAACAUUGCACAGAAAUGUACAGCUAUUUCACACGAGUCAAUGCUUAACUAGGAAAUAAUUAUGAAUCUUAACAGUUGCUUGGAACGCCCAUACAAAAAGUCUCUUUAUGUUGUUAUCAUUCAGGUUUAAAUAUGCAGGUUUAUCAUGCUGAGCUGUCUGGGUAAAUUAAAAGUGCUCUUGGUGCAACAACACAGUUGGCCUAAAGAUACUAAUUAGCUGUUAAGCAGGCUUAUGUGGAAGGAGAGGGGCAAUUGCAUAAACAAAUAAAUUUUGGAAAUAAGUGCCCAUUGACUACUAAACAGCAAUAACUAUCUUCUCUCUUCAAUAUGCACCCGUGAUCAAAACUGUGCAAACCAGGGCUCAAAAAAAAAAAAAUCUUGCCAAUUACGACUGGCAACACAAAACUGAUGAAAGCAGUGUAAUGUUUGCAAUGCCAAGUUUGAACUUCAGUCUUCAGUUUCGGGUUACAUGUCAAAGCUUUGAGGGAAUUCGCUUUUUUUUUUCUUUAGAACUCUUGGUCUGCAUACUUUGAUCACGGGCAUCCAUGACACACAUAAUGAAUGUUGCAUCGAUAAGGUUGUCCAAUACAAAUGACUCUUCUAGCUAGUGCUGACUUGAUUGCAGUCAAAUUUUACACGGAUGUUGCAUUUACUCGUGGCCUUUGUUUGAUACAAUGGGUGGAUGCAGCCCUUGCUUGUUUCAUGCAGAACAAAUCAGAGGUACAUAUAUCUAUGGCAAUGCCAGAUAAGAAAAAAAUUGAACCUUUUUCUGCUGAAGAAAUACAGUAGAGUGAAACCACUCCACAUUUCACUGUCCAUGAAGUGGGUGUUUAAACUUGCCAGGACAGCAUCAUCCUCAUUCCUCUCAGUAAGAUGAAAUAUUUUCUUCUGCACAGCUGCAAUGCAGUGCUGAUUUUUUUUUUUCUGGGAAAGAUAGAUAAAUAGUAGUGCAUCCAGGCACCGGAUUGAACUCCCAUGUCAUUGCAUGAACUCCCAUGUCCUUGCUAAAUUUUAGUGCAAAAAGACCGGUUGUUUAGCUUAAGCAGCCAUUUAUAUCAGGCUUCCUUAUUUGACGCAGCAUACAGUACUUACUAGCAGAUGGCUUCAAAAUCACAUUAAGCUAUAAAGAAACUAAGCUUCUAGGCAUGGUAUGAUUGUUUUACCUAUUGCAGUUAACCAGGGGACAAACAUGCAAACGAAGACAUGCAGUUUGGCGACUUUGAUGAUUCCUAAAGGUAAGACUAAUUACAAUGAAAAGGAAUGUGGAGGAUGUUUCAGGUGCUCUGUGGGUCAAGAAGAUACUGGUCAAGUUGAAAGGGAGAGUUGGCGCAUGAACAGUGGCCCAAACACCACAGACCUUCCCGCUGAGAAUUUUAUCGUAUAGAGGUUUCAAGUACAGGAAAUGAGAAAGUUGACGUGGAUUUGUGCAGGAAUAAGACUUUCAAGCAAAAAAAAAAAGCAACAAGAAAGCAAUGACGACUGAAGUUGCACAGAAGAGGAAGUAAGCAUAGCCUGAGGAAAGCUGGCAAGACAUCGCUGAGUAUGAUCCCCAGCCAGGAAGCCAAAAUGCUGCCCUAUUACAAAUAAAAUGUGCACAAGUAAGAGAUAACAAACACUCCUUUACUGCUUUUAGCUACGUUGUGCGACUUUGCCAUGACUUCUGCUUGUAUGUUUGCUUUAAGGCCUGCACUAGUUCUUUAAACUGGAUACAUAGCAAUUUGAAAUCACUACCUUGAGUUAUUAUUUGUGAGAGGUGUUUUACUUUGUUUUAGUGUUCACAUUUCACUUGGCAAUAAUAGUACAUGUGGAAUUAAACAAAAGUAUGCACUGGGACUGAACUGUGAAGCAGCCCAUCCAUGGUGGUCUACAACUGCGCAAAACUCCCACCCACCUCUACUUCUCUGCACACAGCCCGUCCUCCUCACUUUGUGCUGCCAGAAACAUGAUGCACACCUGCUAACGACCUACUAAGGAGCCCCAACUCUUAAACUAUAUGAAAAAUUUAGGAAAGUUGGCAGGUAUGAUGAUGCCUCUACAUAAAAAGAGUACGGUAUAUUGAAAAUUCUCUAUGUCACUGUAAAACCUGCUUUUAUGGUUAUUGUGAGAAAACCAACCAAAAGGAUGCCGACAGGAUGCAUUUUGGGAAAGUGUUCUUCUAACUGCCAUGAAAUCAAUCACUGACUAAAACUGUUUAGGCAAGCUCCAUGCACGUGGUAAGUAUCUCAUGCUGAAUUUCUUCCAUUUUGCCUGAUCAUAGCUUGCAUUCAAUUCUGUGCAUGUGCUUAGUGAUUACAAAUACUGCAUAAGGUCAAAAGUGCCACUGUUUAGUCAUCGGACACAGUGAUUCGAAGGACUGGCCUUUGCGACUAUUAUUUUACUGCAUCUUUCCGCUGUUCUGGCAAAGACAGCCAUACAGAUGCAACUGAUAUUCCCAUUACUAUUACCUGGGAAACAACGUUUUUAAGAGUCACAUGUGCAAGAAACUUGGGCACUUCAAGGUAUUUACGUUACAUUGUAUUCAAAAUAAUGUGGCUAGUAAAAAGUUAACUGCAAAACUCAUGCAAGUGGACUGCACCGUAUAUUACAAAGUUUUGCAUGUAAUACUGGCAAUGCUGCAGGUCUCUCCCAAUGAUGAUGUUCAACUUAUGAUGCAAUUCGGGAGCAUUAUAAUGGUUACCGUAUAACUUUCAUUAAAAAAUGCCCUCUGCUGGACUGUUUCUUUUUCUAUCCUCACUAUUCAGUUGCAUUCGCACUGGCUCUGUGUGUACAAAACUCAGUUUGACCCCAAUAUUAUAAAAAUAUCUGUAUAAUUCUUGUUAUUCAAUCUUGUUAUUCAAUCAUUAUUCAAGGACAACUGUGCAUGUAUUCAUUUUGCUAUCCGGUUCAUUAAAACAUAUCAAGCACACAUUCCGUUCUGAUGAAAAGGAAUAAAAGCUAUCAUAAUCAUAAAACAUCAUAAUAAAAAGAAUGCAUUAGUCAUUAGUCCUUGUAGUGAAGAUCACAUAACAAGCUGUACCUUAUGAACUUGUGAACAAUUCAGAAAAUGCACAGAAAAAAUCUGUGUUCAACUCAUGCCGCUUCAAAAAAGUUACAGGGGUGUAAAAUGUUUCUUCAGUGCUCGAAUAUUUAGUCUAUUUAUUUUGCAAUUUACAAAAUCUGGUGCUAAAACAAAGAAAAUACUUUUAUGUAAGGUGCUUUGGUAUUUGUUAUUAUUUUACAUGCUUACUUGUGGUAUGUUUGCCUUGGAAUUUGUCAUGGUAUAUGCUCGUGAAACACCAACUUCAUAGUUGACCGUAUCGCUGCCCAUUACCGAAUGCGCUAAACACAAGCACACUGGCAAAUGAAUGUAAUUUGGAAAGUUUUACAUUGCCAGUAAUUUGCUUUCAAAUGUUUUUGAACUAGGCUUGAUGUUGCAAACAAAGCAAGAAUAGACAAAUGAAGUAAUUAUCUGCACAGAAUUCUUAUCUUGUUAGCAAAAGGGUUAACUGAGGGAUAUCCUACAGUUACAAAUGUGCAGGCACCAGAUAAACAAUGAAGGUUUUGUCCACAGGUACCAAUAUAUAUAAACAUGCCAAUGCUAAUAUCUACUUGAACAAUAAAUGUGAAACAGUACAAAAUAAAACAGUGAAAACUGACAAAAGAAAAACUGCAAAACCACAUAAACCAUCAUGAGUGCACAAUGUAAACUAAGAAAGCAGCAUCCAUUUUUUUUUCCUUACCAUUUGCAAAUCUGCAAUGUCACCGAUGUUUCACUACUAAAGAAAGAAAUGGCAGUGCAGCUGAUUUGCAUAGGAGAAACAAAUGCAAGAAAGGCAAGCAUGUGCCAUUUGCAAGUAGGUGUUCAGGCACCAGCCCCCAUCUACCAAACCAGCACCAAACAAACAUCGUAGCUGGCAAGAACACAUGCACACACAAAAAUAAAUAUAAAGUAUGAGAGCAUUCAGGAAGUUAAAACUAACACACACACAAAAAAAAAGAAAA